Long non-coding RNA from Mytilus californianus (California mussel), 3770 nucleotides. RefSeq lists it as uncharacterized. The transcript has 3 exons. The record is from RefSeq and is a predicted model, not a curated record. NCBI's taxonomy places the organism in Eukaryota, Metazoa, Mollusca, Bivalvia, Mytilida, Mytilidae.
CAAAGACACAUUGGUUUUCGCACUCUAACUUUAGUUUAAGUGAAUGGAUCUUUAUGAAAUUUUACCACAAGGUUCAAUACCACAAAAGGAAGGUUGGGAUUGAUUUUGGGGGUUAUGGUACCAACAGUUAAGGAAUUAGGGGCCAAAAAGGGGCCAAAAAUAAGCAUUUUUGUAACUUUCAGACAAUAACUUGUGUGUAAGUGUAUGGAUCUCUCUGACAUUGUACCACAAGGUUCCAUAUCACAAAGGGAAGGCUGUAAUUGAUUUUGGGGGUAAUUGCCUCAAAAUUUUAGGAAUUAGGGGCCAAAAAAGGGGCAAAAAACAAGCAUUUUUCUAGUUUCAUGACAAUAACUUGUGUGUAAGUGUUUGGAUAUUUCUGAAAUUGUACUACAAGGUUCCAUAUCACAAAGGGAAAGCUGGGUUUGAGUUUGGGGGUAAUUGCCCGAAACGUUUAGGAAUUGGGGGCCAAAAAGGGGCCAAAUAUAAGCAUUUUUCUAGUUUCCAGACAAUAACUUGUGUUCAAGUGUAUGGAUCUCUCUGAAAUUGUACUGCAAGGUACCAUACCACAAAGGGAAGGUUGGGAUUGAGUUUGGGGGUGAUGAAUCAUAAGGUGGUUCAAAAAAUUGGGGGGGGGGGAUUUUUUUUUUUUUUUUUUUUUCUUUUUAUUCCUUUUUUUUUUCUUUUAAAAUUUUCCAUUUUAAGUUGGUUAUUUCUGAUUUAUAUUUAAAAGCAAAUAAUAAUGAUAUGGUAGGAGAUACACACCAAACAGGAUGUGUAAAUUAUUAUAUAAUAAGUAUUGUGCAAUAGCAAGAAAUUUUCAAUUGCACAGUAUUGCACAAUAGCAAGAAAUCUUCAAUUGCACAGUAUUGCGCAAUAGCAAGAAAUCUUCAAUUUAACAGUAUUGCGCAAUAGCAAGAAAUAUCCAAUAGCACAAUAUUGCGCAAUAGCAAGAAAUUGUCAAUUGUACAGUAUUGCGCAAUAGCAAGAAAUAUUCAAUUGCACAGUAUUGUGCAAAAGAAGAUACUUCGUAUAAAUUGCUUAUUUCUUGAUCAAUUUCAAUGGGGUUUUAUUCUUGAAUUCUUGGGGUUCUUUAGUAUGCUGAAUCUAACCGUGUAUUAAGUUUUUGGAUUUUGGGCCCCGUUUUUAAAUUGGUCCACAUUGAGGUCCAAAGGGUCCAAAAUUUAACUUUGUUUGAUUUCAUCAAAAAUUGAAUUAUUGGGGUUCUUUGAUAUGCCGAAUCUAACCGUGUAUUUAGAUUUUUAAUUUUGGGUCCCGUUUUUUAAAUUGGUCUACAUUAAGGUCCAAAGGGUCCAAAAUUAAACUUAGUUUGAUUUUAACAAAAAUUGAAUUCUUAGGGUUCUUUGAUAUGCUGAAUCUAAACAUGUGUUUAGAUUUUUGAUUUUGGGCCCAGUUUUCAAGUUGGUCCAAGUUGGGGUCCAAAAUUAAACUUUGUUUGAUUUCAACAAAAAUUGAAUAUAUGGGGUUCUUUGAUAUGCUGAAUCUAAACAUGUAUUUAGAUUUUAGAUUUUUGGCCCAGUUUUCAAGUUGGUCCAAAUUGGGGUCCAAAAUUAAACUUUGUUUGAUUUCAACAAAAAAUGAAUAUAUGGGGUUCUUUGAUAUGCUGAAUCUUACCAUGUAUUUAGAUUUUUUAUUUGUGGGCCCGCUAUCAAAUUGGUUCAUAUUGAGGUCAAAAGGGUCCACAAUUAAACUUUGUUUGAUUUCAUCAAAAAUUGAAUUAUUGGGGUUCUUUGAUAUGCCAAAUCUAACCGUGUAUUUAGAUUUUUAAUUUUGGGUCCUGUUUUUUAAAUUGGUCUACAUUAAGGUCCAAAGGGUCCAAAAUUAAACUUAGUUUGAUUUUAACAAAAAUUGAAUUUUUGGGGUUCUUUGAUAUGCUGAAUCUAAACAUGUGUUUAGAUUUUUGAUUAUGGGACCAGUUUUCAAGUUGGUCCAAGUUGGGGUCCAAAAUUAAACUUUGUUUGAUUUCAACAAAAAUUGAAUAUAUGGGGUUCUUUGAUAUGCUGAAUCUAAACAUGUAUUUAGAUUUUAGAUUUUUGGCCCAGUUUUCAAGUUGGUCCAAAUUGGGGUCCAAAAUUAAACUUUGUUUGAUUUCAACAAAAAUUGAAUAUAUGGGGUUCUUUGAUAUGCUGAAUCUUACCAUGUAUUUAGAUUUUUUAUUUGUGGGCCCGCUAUCAAAUUGGUUCAUAUUGAGGUCAAAAGGGUCUAAAAUUAAACUUUGUUUGAUUUCAUCAAAAAUUGAAUUAUUGGGGUUCUUUGAUAUGCCAAAUCUAACCGUGUUUUUAGAUUUUUUAUUUUGGGUCCCGUUUUUUAAAUUUGUCUACAUUAAGGUCCAAAGGGUCCAAAAUUAAACUUAGUUUGAUUUUAACAAAAAUUGAAUUCUUCAGGUACUUUGAUAUGCUGAAUCUAAACAUGUGUUUAGAUUUUUGAUUAUGGGACCAGUUUUCAAGUUUGUCCAAGUUGGGGUCCAAAAUUAAACUUUGUUUGAUUUCAACAAAAAUUGAAUAUAUGGGGUUCUUUGAUAUGCUGAAUCUAACCAUGUAUUUUGAUUUUGGACAUUGGACCAUAAUAGGUAAAUUAAAAAAAUUGAAGUUCUUAGACCACAUUCUUUCUGUGUCAGAAACCUAUGCUGUGUCAAAUAUUUAAUCACAAUCCAAAUUCAGAGCUGUAUCAAGCUUGAAUGUUGUGUCCAUACUUGCCCCAACUGUUCAGGGUUCGACCUCUGCGGUCGUAUCAAGCUGCGCCCAGCGAAGCAUUUUAUUAAUUUUGGGUCCAGUUUUCAAAUUGGUCUACAUUAAGGUCCAAAGGGUCCAAAAUUAAACUUUGUUUGAUUUUAGCAAAAAUUGAAUAUAUGAGGUUCUUAGAUAUGCUGAAUCUAAACAUUUAUUUAGAUUUUUGAUUUUUGGCCCAGUUUUCAAGUUGGUCCAAAUUGGGGUCCAAAAUUAAACUUUGUUUGAUUUCAACAAAAAUUGAAUAUAUGGGGUUCUUUGAUAUGCUGAAUCUAACCAUGUAUUUAGAUUUUUUAUUUGUGGACCCCGUUAUCAAAUUGGUUCAUAUUGAGGUCAAAAGGGUCCAAAAUUAAACUUUGUUUGAUUUCAUCAAAAAUUGAAUUAUUGGGGUUCUUUGAUAUGCCAAAUCUAACAGUGUAUUUAGAUUUUUAAUUUUGGGUCCCAUUUUUUUAAUUGGUCUACAUUAAGGUCCAAAGGGUCCAAAAUUAAACUUAGUUUGAUUUUAACAAAAAUUGAAUUCUUGGGGUUCUUUGAUAUGCUGAAUCUAAACAUGUGUUUAGAUUUUUGAUUAUGGGCCCAGUUUUCAAGUUGGUCCAAGUUGGGGUCCAAAAUAAAACUUUGUUUGAUUUCAACAAAAAUUGAAUUAUUGGGGUUCUUUGAUAUUCCAAAUCUAACCGUGUAUUUAGAUUUUUAAUUUUGGGUCCCGUUUUUUAAAUUGGUCUACAUUAAGGUCCAAAGGGUCCAAAAUUAAACUUAGUUUGAUUUUAACAAAAAUUGAAUUUUUGGGGUUCUUUGAUAUGCUGAAUCUAUAAAUGUGUUUAGAUUUUUGAUUAUGGGCCCAGUUUUCAAGUUGGUCUAAGUUGGGGUCCAAAAUUAAACUUUGUUUGAUUUCAACAAAAAUUGAAUAUAUGGGGUUCUUUGAUAUGCUGAAUCUAAACAUGUAUUUAGAUUUUAGAUUUUUGGCCCAGUUUUCAAGUUGGUCCAAACUGGGGUCCAAAUCAAACUUUGUUUGAUUUCAACAAAAAA